Bison bison bison is the source of this 117-nucleotide ribosomal RNA. Lineage: Eukaryota; Metazoa; Chordata; Mammalia; Artiodactyla; Bovidae. The record is from Ensembl.
UUUUUCGGCCAUACCACCUUGAACAUGGCAGAUCUCAUCUGAUCUCGGAAGCUAAGCAGGGUUGGCCCUGGUUAGUACUUGGAUGGGGCUUCCCCGGUGGCUCAGAUGGUAAAGCAU